RNAcentral lists this ribosomal RNA (394 nucleotides) under uncultured Rhodoferax sp. RNAcentral describes it as "bacterial SSU rRNA". It matches the Rfam family "Bacterial small subunit ribosomal RNA", at positions 987 to 1382 of the family's 1533-position model. The record is from RNAcentral. Lineage: Bacteria; Pseudomonadati; Pseudomonadota; Betaproteobacteria; Burkholderiales; Comamonadaceae.
UGUACGGAACCCUUUAGAGAUAGAGGGUGCUCGAAAGAGGGCCGUAACACAGGUGCUGCAUGGCUGUCGUCAGCUCGUGUCGUGAGAUGUUGGGUUAAGUCCCGCAACGAGCGCAACCCUUGUCAUUAGUUGCUACAUUCAGUUGGGCACUCUAAUGAGACUGCCGGUGACAAGCCGGAGGAAGUGGGGAUGACGUCAAGUCCUCAUGGCCCUUAUAGGUGGGGCUACACACGUCAUACAAUGGCUGGUACAAAGGGUUGCCAACCCGCGAGGGGGAGCCAAUCCCAUAAAGCCAGUCGUAGUCCGGAUCGUAGUCUGCAACUCGACUACGUGAAGUCGGAAUCGCUAGUAAUCGUGGAUCAGAAUGUCACGGUCGAAUACGUUCCCGGGCCUU